This 223-nucleotide unclassified non-coding RNA is filed under the name Hevea brasiliensis (rubber tree). Lineage: Eukaryota; Viridiplantae; Streptophyta; Magnoliopsida; Malpighiales; Euphorbiaceae. The record is from RNAcentral.
GGGUAGGCUGGAAUGGCCACAUGUGAUGGCUGAGGUUUGUCACCUGUAACUCCAGGAAUGUGGCUUUCUGAAAGCGAGGUUGAAUUUCUUUUAAAAUGGUGAUGUUACCAAUUUAGUUCAUUAGUUGUUGUUCUUGCAUUUUGUUAAAGCUGCUAGAUUUAUUUGCACAAUAUAGCCAUCUUAUCUCAAGUAUAUUCUCCCAGUGUAAAAGGUCUUUGAUUCA